Molecule: ribosomal RNA, 387 nt
Filed under: Beauveria bassiana
Lineage: Eukaryota; Fungi; Ascomycota; Sordariomycetes; Hypocreales; Cordycipitaceae
Description: partial 28S ribosomal RNA
Source: RNAcentral
AGAGUCGUAGACUCAAUUGAUUUAUUGUUUCUUGUUGGUGGGGAUAGUCGGGUCCUGUUGGCAGGAUUACGCCGGCUAGUCGACAUGACAUACACGCUGCAGGUGUCAUGCGGCGACAUAACCUGGAUCGGGGAAGGCUAAUGGCCUGUAGGCCUAUGCUAAUCCCGAGUGCAGUCCUGGAGGGGUGACCUUCCAGGACGCAUGUAGAGCGCGGAAAGGUGUGGGUGACUCUUCUAGGGAAGCCUAGAAGGUUGCUUAAGGGACGUGCCAGACCCACGGGAAACCGUGCCGGAUGCGAAGGACCUGCAGUCCGAAUCGUCCGGGUGGCUUCGAGGCCGGGAGGAAAUGCCCGGAAGAGCCUGGUAUACUAUACCUACAUGGUAUUCG